This is a long non-coding RNA of Apis florea (little honeybee), 1284 nucleotides long. Lineage: Eukaryota; Metazoa; Arthropoda; Insecta; Hymenoptera; Apidae. The record is from RefSeq and is a predicted model, not a curated record.
UAUUUUUAGAUUUUUAGACAUACUAUGAUGAUCAACCAAUCAAAAAUGUUUUAAGUGUAUUGACUUCUUGUUGACUAGAGAAUUGUACGAUAGAGAGCGCAUGCUACGUACAUAUAUUACAAUUUAGCUGAUAUUGACUAAAAAUUUGCCGAGAGAGGCGGCAUAGUCGCAGUCAGGUGCAAGGAAACAUUUUCUCUUCAAUUCAUAGAAUACCGUCAUGUCUACUUCAAAUUGAAUUCAGAGUCGAUUUGAUUGGAUUGUGAGUGAUUUUUUGUUACUCGAUUACGUGAUACUCAUAAUAGUGAAUUAUUUAAAACAAUAAUAAAAAUUUACUUAGUCUCAAGUGGUUUUUUACAUCGAUACAAAAAUACUUGAAAAUACUGCAGAACUGUUCAAUAAUGAACAAACUUUGAACAAAAUAUUGGCUGAUUUAUUAGCAGUGUAUAUAGGAAUUGAUUACAAAAUCAAAGAAAGAAUUAUUAAAUAUAACAAACAAAAAUUUGAAACGAUAUUGAAACGUUGAUUGAAUGUGGCAACGCAAUUUGCAAUUUUGCGAACUAACCAAUUAACACGGAUUAAGCACAUGUAUAUUAAUCAUUGAUACAAAUUAAUAGGCGAUAUAUGGCACCAAUUUAAACGAUAUUGACAAUAAUAUAACAAAAUAAUAAUGAGAUGUCACAAAAGUGAAGAAAAUAAAAUAUUGAAAAAAAAGAAGAAAAAAAAGAUGAAAUAUAAUUAUGAAAAAAACGAUAGUAAAACAAAAAUUUUUCGAUAACUAUUAUAACAAUAAGAAUUUAGUCCAUACUCUUUAAAAUUUUAAAUAUAAUUGGGCUUAUAAAUAAUUAUUUGCAAAUAAUAAAAAAAGAAUAUAUUUGCAAACUGUUUGAAAAAAAUAUAAAUGUUGUUAUAAGGAAACUUAAUCAAGGGUAAGCGUGUUCAACUAAUUGCAAGUUAUACUUUAUAAUUGCUAUUAAAUGUGAAAAACAUAGAAUUUUAAAAAUAAUUUUAAGAAGUAUUUGUUUGUGUCGCAUGAACAUUUAAUAAUUUAAUGAUUUUUAUUUUAAUUCAUUUUUACAUAUAUUUGAAAUUAUCAAAAAUCUUAAUAUAUCGAAAACAUAUUUUUUAUUUUUUAUUUUUUUAAUUUUAAUGGAAAAAAAAUUGAAAUUUUUUUCUUUCAUUGAAAGUUUUUCAGUAACUAACAUGUUACUACUUGUGCGUGUAUAUAUAUAUGUAAUAUAUUUAUCUUUUUAUCUUUUAAAAUGUAGAUUUUUCUAUUUCAAUAAA